GACGAACGCUGGCGGCGUGCUUAACACAUGCAAGUCGAACGAAGAGCGAUGGAAGCUUGCUUCUAUCAAUCUUAGUGGCGAACGGGUGAGUAACGCGUAAUCAACCUGCCCUUCAGAGGGGGACAACAGUUGGAAACGACUGCUAAUACCGCAUACGAUCUGACCUUGGCACCGAGGAUAGAUGAAAGGUGGCCUCUAUUUAUAAGCUAUCACUGAAGGAGGGGAUUGCGUCUGAUUAGCUAGUUGGAGGGGUAACGGCCCACCAAGGCGAUGAUCAGUAGCCGGUCUGAGAGGAUGAACGGCCACAUUGGGACUGAGACACGGCCCAGACUCCUACGGGAGGCAGCAGUGGGGAAUCUUCCGCAAUGGACGAAAGUCUGACGGAGCAACGCCGCGUGAGUGAUGACGGCCUUCGGGUUGUAAAGCUCUGUUAAUCGGGACGAAAGGCCUUCUUGCGAAUAGUUAGAAGGAUUGACG
Molecule: ribosomal RNA, 477 nt
Filed under: Veillonella dispar
Lineage: Bacteria; Bacillati; Bacillota; Negativicutes; Veillonellales; Veillonellaceae
Description: bacterial SSU rRNA
Rfam family: Bacterial small subunit ribosomal RNA
Source: RNAcentral